Molecule: ribosomal RNA, 256 nt
Filed under: uncultured bacterium
Lineage: Bacteria
Description: partial 16S ribosomal RNA
Rfam family: Bacterial small subunit ribosomal RNA
Source: RNAcentral
UACGAAGGGGGGCUAGCGUUGCUCGGAAUCACUGGGCGUAAAGGGUGCGUAGGCGGAUUUCUAAGUCAGGGGUGAAAGCCUGAGGCUCAACCUCAGAACUGCCUUGAUACUGGAAGUCUUUGAGACCGGAAGAGGUAAGUGGAACUGCGAGUGUAGAGGUGAAAUUCGUAGAUAUCGCAAGAACACCAGUCGGCGAAGGCGGCUUACUGGUCCGGUUCGUGCACGCUGAGGCACGAAAGCGUGGGGAGCAAACAGG